This 336-nucleotide RNase P RNA is filed under the name uncultured Clostridium sp. RNAcentral describes it as "Bacterial RNase P class A". It matches the Rfam family "Bacterial RNase P class A". From Rfam's summary of the family: Ribonuclease P (RNase P) is a ubiquitous endoribonuclease, found in archaea, bacteria and eukarya as well as chloroplasts and mitochondria. The record is from RNAcentral. Lineage: Bacteria; Bacillati; Bacillota; Clostridia; Eubacteriales; Clostridiaceae.
GUAAGACAUGCAAUCGCUGCUAGCUUUAAGCUAGGAGAGGAAAGUCGGGGCUCCACAGGGCAGGGUGCUGGAUAACGUCCAGUCAAGGCGACUUGAAGGAUAGUGCAACAGAGAUAUACCGCCUGUUUUUCAGGCAAGGGUGGAAAGGCGAGGUAAGAGCUCACCAGCGUGAUGGCGACUUCACGGCUAUGUAAACCCCACUUGGAGCAAGACCGAAUAGAGAAACAUAUAAGGAGUGGCCCGUUCCGUUUCUGGGUGCGUCGCUUGAACCUAUUGGUAACAAUAGGUCUAGAUAGAUGAUUGCUUAAUACAGAACCCCGCUUAUGGCUUAUCUCG